This is a long non-coding RNA of Eubalaena glacialis (North Atlantic right whale), 531 nucleotides long. RefSeq lists it as uncharacterized. NCBI's taxonomy places the organism in Eukaryota, Metazoa, Chordata, Mammalia, Artiodactyla, Balaenidae. The transcript is spliced from 4 exons. The record is from RefSeq and is a predicted model, not a curated record.
GGAGCCCGUAAUAGUGGAAUUUCAGGCGUCAGCCACAAGACUGGGGGUAACAGAUCAUCAGAUGACGAUUUCUAAAUCAGGAAGAAAAUUAGUUCUUUCGUGACUUAAGAAGUGACCUGAAAUAGGAGGAGUCAAAUUACAGUAGUAGAAGUGACAGUUUUCAGUUAUGUUCCUAUACCCUUUUGGAAAAUGGAGGGAGUGAAGACUGCCACCAUGUCCUGCCCGCUCUCAGCCGCACACGGUGGGGUGUUGCUCCAGGACCUUGCUUCAGACGUUCAUAUAUAAUGGCCUGCCUCAGGGAACCCUGCCCACCUGCGAAUGGCUGCAAGAAAAAAGAAACUAACACAUCCCCUCUCCGAGGCUGGUCAUUCCAGAUGUUAUGCAAGACUGAUGGCCCUUUGACUUUACUUCCUCACCACCUCUCCCUCUCUGAUGCUAUGAAAGAAACUGGCAUCCAGAUCCAGAUAAGAUGGUUUUUCAGAGACACUAGUCUGCCAUCUUCUUGGUCUGCUGGCUUUCCGAAUAAAGUCC